This is a long non-coding RNA of Thalassophryne amazonica, 137 nucleotides long. RefSeq lists it as uncharacterized. Lineage: Eukaryota; Metazoa; Chordata; Actinopteri; Batrachoidiformes; Batrachoididae. The transcript has 2 exons. The record is from RefSeq and is a predicted model, not a curated record.
AUUAGCGGUUCCUCCAGGAUCGAAGAGGCCUGUGACAUGUAUGUAAGAGCUGCCAACAUGUACAAGAUGGCAAAAAACUGGUGUGCUGCAGGAAACGCCUUUUCCAAAGCUGCUCACCUUCACCUGCAGAUGCAAAG